This is an RNA transcript of Eublepharis macularius, 2054 nucleotides long. It is a transcript of the gene named rabaptin, RAB GTPase binding effector protein 2, with no coding region annotated. Lineage: Eukaryota; Metazoa; Chordata; Lepidosauria; Squamata; Eublepharidae. The record is from RefSeq and is a predicted model, not a curated record. The transcript is spliced from 11 exons.
CAUUUCCCUCCAUACCCAACAAAGCGGGACUCUUCUUUGCCUACCUUUCUCGUGUUUAUUCGCUUCUUUUCGUUUCCGCUCGGACAUUUCCGUCCCUGCCCGGUCGAGCGGGGCUCUUUUUUCUUGUCGACUCUUCUCGUGUUUACUCGGCUAUUUCCGGUUCCGCUCGGGCAAUUCCGACUCCGCUCGGCCUCCGGAGCGGCAGCAGCGGCAGAAGCCUCCGCAGUAUGGAAGAGCCUCAGAGGGUGCAGGAGGUGAGCGCUCCCCCUGGCCCAGAUCUCCCUAGAGACCCUGAUCCCGAGGAGACCAUCCGCAACCUGCAGAUCCAGUUGGCAGCUGCAUUGGCAGAGGUAGAAACUGUCCGGGCUGUUGCUGCUGUGAGCGAAAGCACCAAACAUGAGGCCGUGGAGGCUGUUCGGCGCCACUGCCAAGAAGAAGUAGCUUCACUGCAAACUAUUCUGAAAGACACCAUCUCUAGUUACGAGGCACGUCUCUCAGCCCUAGAGCGUGACAGCCGAGAGAAUGUAUGGAGUCGCCUCCUGCCAAGGAGCAACCCAUUGGACUCCUUGGAGAAACAGAUGGAAAAGGCACAGGAAGACACAGAGCGGCUCCGGGCCAUUGUGCUGCCAAUGGAGCAGGAAAUCGACGAACUGAAGGGGAAGCUGGCCCGGGCGGAGGGGCUGGUUCAGGAGCUGCAGGGUGAGCAGGGCUGCAUUUUCAGCUCAUCUGAAUCCCUGCUCCCUGACCCAGUCCCCCCUGACGGGCCAGGAGAUGACCAUGUUACUCUGGGGGAAGGAGGAGUGGCUGAGAAAUUUGCCUCUGGCCUUGACAGUGUCUCCAUCGCCUCUUCUUCCUUGCUGGUACCAAGCCCUGGGCCCCCAAUCCGGCGCAGACGUUCCCCCAGCCCUGAGACUGUAUCCAUUGCCUCCUCUAGUGGGACCCUGGUGCCGGAGACAAUCUACCUACCGCCAGCCGGGUACCAGCUGGUGCCUGACUCAGAAUGGAUGCAGCUUCACAACGUGGUGCGGCAGCAACGGGAGGCUGUGGAGAAGGCAUCUCAGGAAAAAGCCAGCCUGGAGGAGGUUCUGAAGCGCAGCAGCGAGGACUGCAGCAAGCAGGUCCGGGUUCUUUUUUCUCAGGUCCAAAACUCUGAGGAGCUUCUCCGGGCCCUCCAAAGCUCGGUCAGCAAGAGCCAGCGACAGACUCAGGAGCAGAUGGCUGACCUCGCUGCAUCCCACAAGCGUCUGAGCUAUGAAGUGCAACGCCUCAAUGCUGAAAAUGAGGGGUUGCGUGCAGCCUCUUCCCGAGAGCCCGAUGACAAAAGCCGGCACUCGCCCAACCCCAUCCAGGACCUGCAGAGCCAGGUCAGCCAGCAAAGACUGGAGGCUGAAUCGCAGCUUCGGUUUGCGGAGCACCAGGCUGAGCGUCUGCGGAUAGAGAUCAUGUCCCUGCGGGAGCAGCUAGACCAAGAGAUAGCAGCCCGGUUGGAACUGCAGGGGGUGCUGGAGAAAGAGAGAGAAGAAAAAGGUAGGGGUUCCUCGGGAUUGAAAAAUCAAUUUAAGGGUUCUUCCAUGGAAAAAAGGUUGGGAUCACUGAACUAGAGGAAUGGGAAUGGAUUCCUGGACUCGGGAGGUGUUGGGACUCAAAAAUCCAGCAAUCUCAAGGUUUAAUGCCGCAGUGGAAUCUAGCAAUGGCAAUAGUUCUAGGUGGGUAGCUGUGUUGGUCUGCAGUAGAACAGCAGGAUUUGAGUCUAGUGUCACCUUAGAGACCAACAUGAUUUUCAGGGGGUGAGCUUUCAAGAAUCACUUCUGAAGAAGGGAGCUCUGACUCUCAAAAGCGUACACCCUGAAAAUCUUGUUGGUCUCCAAGGUGCCACUGGACUAAAACCUAGCCAUGUCAAAUAUCCUUCCACUGCCAUGCACGUGACUAACUGCCUUCUCUUUCCCCCUUCCUGCCCCACUUCUGGCUGGAAGAACUCUUGCAAGCUUCCUUUAACAGCAUUGAGAGUGAAAUGGAGAGACUGCAGCAAGGACAAGAGGAGGGGAAUGGCAGCC